UGGUGUGUGGCUCAGUGGUAGAGUGCUUGCCUAGCACAUGAGAGGCACUGGGUUCAAACCUCAGCACCAA
Molecule: transfer RNA, 70 nt
Filed under: Marmota monax (woodchuck)
Lineage: Eukaryota; Metazoa; Chordata; Mammalia; Rodentia; Sciuridae
Also listed under: 1 other name
Rfam family: tRNA
About the family: Transfer RNA (tRNA) molecules are approximately 80 nucleotides in length. Their secondary structure includes four short double-helical elements and three loops (D, anti-codon, and T loops). Further hydrogen bonds mediate the characteristic L-shaped molecular structure. tRNAs have two regions of fundamental functional importance: the anti-codon, which is responsible for specific mRNA codon recognition, and the 3' end, to which the tRNAs corresponding amino acid is attached (by aminoacyl-tRNA synthetases). tRNAs cope with the degeneracy of the genetic code in two manners: having more than one tRNA (with a specific anti-codon) for a particular amino acid; and 'wobble' base-pairing, i.e. permitting non-standard base-pairing at the 3rd anti-codon position.
Source: Rfam by way of RNAcentral